AGCGCUCGAGACGCGACGUGGUGCUCGCGCUCCUCGCUUCGGGGACAUUACCGAUGAUGGACGUGUUGUAAGACAAGAACACGCAGCUUAUCUCUCACCAUGACAACUUAAGUGACAGUUACACGUGCAGUUUGGCCGAACAUAAACUGCUUUAACGGUCUCAGGUGUUUUUUUUUGUUUGUUUCUUACCAGCACCGGUUUUUAAUGUGUUUUAUGUGUUUGCGCUCAACAGUGAGGUAGACUUAUUAUACAGGAGUGUCGGCGUGUGAUUUACCCCGUGGAUGCGGCUGUUGGUGUCGGUGACUGAGCCCUGCAGGAUCAGCCUGUCAUAGGGCAUCAUGACUUCUCUGGUUGUUUACAAGUGGAUGAGGAAUAUUUCUCCGGAGAUGCUGCUGUUGGUGCCCAUAUUGUGGUUUUUACCUCUGAUCGGAGCGGCUCCUUCUGUCACUACCGAGCAGCUGGACACGGGGGUGGACUGGCUGAGUAAGUUUGGCUACCUCCCACCCCCUGAUCCUGUGACUGGUCAGCUUCAGACCAAGGAGGCCCUGACCAAGGCCAUCAAAGCCAUGCAGAAGUUUGGAGGGCUGAAGGAGACCGGAGUCUUCGACCAAGCCACACUGGGUCUGAUGAAAACACCCAGAUGUUCUCUGCCAGAUGUUUCUGAGGCAGAGGUGACAAUGGGUCGCAGGAAACGAGGCCUGACUCCUCAGAACAAAUGGAAUAAAAGGCAUCUAUCCUGGAGGGUGAGGACCUUCCCUAAGGAUUCGGCCUUACUGGGCAGGGACACUGUUCGAGCGCUGAUGUACUACGCCUUGAAGGUCUGGAGUGACAUCGCACCACUUAACUUCCACGAGGUAGCAGGAAGUGAUGCAGACAUUCAAAUCGACUUCACGAAGGCCGACCACAAUGAUGGCUAUCCCUUUGAUGGACCAGGUGGCACCGUGGCACACGCAUUUUUUCCAGGAGAGAGAUUCACAGCUGGGGAUACACACUUUGAUGACGACGAGGCCUGGACCUUCAGAUCACCAGACUCUCAUGGGAUGGAUCUGUUUGCGGUUGCAGUCCAUGAGUUUGGACAUGCCAUCGGCCUGGUUCACACCUCAGCUAUAGAGUCCAUCAUGAGGCCGUAUUACCAGGGACCUGUAGGAGACCCUCUGAAGUACGACCUGCCCUAUGAGGACAAGGUCCGCGUCUGGCAGCUCUACGGUGUCAGGGACUCAGUGUCCCAUACAACUCGACCAGGCAACCCCUCCCAGACAGCUGAACCUCCGGUCCUGCUGGACCUUCCUGAAAACAGAUCCACUCUUCUGUUGGCACGAGAUGCCCCAGACAGAUGCACCAGUCACUUUGAUGCUGUGGCCCAAAUACGAGGGGAGGCGUUCUUUUUCAAAGGCAAGUACUUUUGGCGACUAACUCGAGAGAAGCACCUGGUGUCUCUUCGUCCAGCUCAGAUCCAUCGCUUCUGGAGGGGUCUUCCACCGAAUCUGGACAGUGUGGAUGCUGUGUAUGAGAGGCCUGGGGACCACAAAAUAGUCUUUUUCAAAGGUCUAAAGUACUGGGUAUUUAAAGACAAUAUUGUGGAGGAGGGUUACCCUCGUCCAAUCAGUGACUUUGGCCUACCCUUGGAAGGAGUGGAUGCAGCCUUUGUUUGGCUACACAACGACAAAACCUACUUCUUCAAGAACAACCACUACUGGCGUUAUGAUGACCACCUGAGACGUAUGGACCUGGGCUACCCGAAAGACAGCACGCUUUGGAAGGGGCUGCCACAAAACUUGGACGACGCCAUGAGGUGGUCUGAUGGCUCGUCCUAUUUCUUCAAGGGGAAGGAGUACUGGCGAGUGCCUGGCAGUGACAUGGAGGUGGAAGAAGGAUACCCGCGCCUCAUCGCCAAAGACUGGCUGCUGUGCACUGAGAUGCAAUCCGAUGCUCCAGACGCAGAGCCCAAAAGCACGGAGACGAGAGGCAACGUGCACCAUCACCCGGACCACGCGGAGAAUGGCUACGAGGUCUGCUCCUGCACCUCUGACAGCGCCUCACCUUUAGGCGCCCGGCCCUGCCCGUCUCCCAUGUGGCUGUUGCCACCUCUCUGGACGCUCUCAUUGGCCCUCCACUCUGAACUGCUAUGAUGCCAAAACAUGGGACAGAGUUCUCUGGCUGGGUACAAGAAAGAGACUUUUUGGUAGAGGGCCAGUAGACACUCAGUCCAAAUACACCCUGGAAGAUUUUGUUCAUAUAAGUUGAUAUGUUUUUGAUAUUGUUUUGCUGUUAUUUAUUUCACAUGUCGUUUGACAGUUAUCUAAAGCGCCUUGUAGUAUGGGUAGUACAUACAUACAUACAUUAUCAUAUUAUCAUACUAAGGUAUAGCUAGUAGCCAUUAAUCCACUGACAAUGACAAUUCUAGUACCGUGCUUUACAAAUGGAGUUACAGAGCCACAAGUUCUAUCCCUAUAACCCCUCCUUCAAGGAUAUGUUCACAUUAAAAACAAUGGUUCAAGCAUAAAACAGCAUAAUACUUUCAAGAACAAAAAGUUAACAGCGAUAAGGAAUGGCAUCAUGGGAUACAGGCAGGUCAACUGGUAAAUCGCAUAUAGCGAUGUAGACUUUGACCAUCUGAAUGGCAUCCUGAGAUGUUCAGUAGACAGGAGCUAGAUGAGAAGAUCAGUACCACUGUCACGUCGGUGAAAGCUUAUUUCGCAAAAUGUCCAGCUAUUGCUUUAAAGAGUCAUAUUUUACAACUUGACAAGAAGAGCUGCCUGAAAGACUCCAGCCAAGCCAAAGAUUGAUAUCUGGUAUGUAGAUACUGUAGUGAGACAGGAGACUGACACCCUGGCAUGUAUUUCGGCAGACAGGUGAAAAGUACCUUGGGAUGUAGCAUAGAUAGUUAGAUUUACAGAUGAACGGGCCCAUGGGAUGUUGACAGGAAGACAUAUGAAUGGCUUGUUUGUGUGUCGGCAGGUAGAUGAACGGCAGGGCUGUAAACAGGUAGACGGGCAAACACCAUCCAGCAUAGUUACACAGCUAUUGGGACGUGAGACCAAUUACAGACUUCCUGUCAUUAAUUGGAAAGUUAAAAUCCAACAGUUUCUCACUGUCGCUUAACACCAUUAGCUUAAAUCCCCUACUUGGCCUCCCACGGUCUGUGAGGAACUGUUUGAGGCCAUAAUGAAGUCAUAAUUUUAAGCCCUGGUACAGAAGCAUUCCCUGCCAUUAUCAGAGGCAGUAUUGGUUUUGUAGUUUGUAUUCUUUUUUGUAAUAAAUAGGGAUGAAAUGUGAUUCCAUAUUGCUUUGAUCAAGUUAGAGUUCAUGGAGCCUUUUUCCUCACCACCAGGCAAUGUCCAUCAUCAGUCCAAGCUUGUUCUGGUGACUUGUUGGCAGACCUCACAAGCACCUGGAUUUAUUCUUGCUGAUAUAUUUACCUACAUUUUAAAAUAGACAAUAUAUUUGAGUUGAGAUGUUCCAUGGUUAGUGCGAAACCAAGUGGAAUGUGUAUAUUUGAAGGUGUGUUUUCUAAUGUAAAAUAUUUUUGUAGAAAAAUAAAAAGAA
This is an RNA transcript of Scatophagus argus, 3546 nucleotides long. It is a transcript of the gene named matrix metallopeptidase 17a, with no coding region annotated. NCBI's taxonomy places the organism in Eukaryota, Metazoa, Chordata, Actinopteri, Scatophagidae. The transcript has 11 exons. The record is from RefSeq and is a predicted model, not a curated record.